UCCUCGUUAGCUCAAUGGUAGAGCACCCGGCUGUUAACCGGGGGGUUGCAGGUUCGAGUCCUGCACGAGGAGCCA
This 75-nucleotide transfer RNA is filed under the name Clostridia bacterium. Its description in RNAcentral is "tRNA-Asn". It matches the Rfam family "tRNA". Rfam says of the family: Transfer RNA (tRNA) molecules are approximately 80 nucleotides in length. Their secondary structure includes four short double-helical elements and three loops (D, anti-codon, and T loops). The record is from RNAcentral. Lineage: Bacteria; Bacillati; Bacillota; Clostridia.